Molecule: long non-coding RNA, 2109 nt
Organism: Myotis daubentonii (Daubenton's bat)
Lineage: Eukaryota; Metazoa; Chordata; Mammalia; Chiroptera; Vespertilionidae
Source: RefSeq, a predicted model, not a curated record
GCUUGAAGCGCGGGGACCAGGAGGCAGCCUCAGGGCUGAACUGGAGGCUGGAGGGACCCUGUGACCCGGGCCAUCUUCUGCGGGCACUGAAACCCUUUGGGCACUGAAAUCCUGUGGGCACAAGUAGCGCCUGCACACUAGUGACAGGCAACUUCCGCCUCCUGCGCGAGUCCAGGCUGUGGGUUCGUUAGAACGCGAGCGAGAGCUUUCGCUGACGCAUGAAACGCCUACUGUGCGCUGUGGUUAGAGCUUUGGAGCUCAUUGACUCCUCCCGGGAACCCUCGCAGCUGAGGAAACUGAGGCAGAGGCAGGUGAGUGUCCUUGCUGGGGGGUGAUAGAGCCAGAGAGCCAGCUGGCGUCUGACCCAGUGUGCUCUGCUGUGCCUCGGGACCUGGAAAUACACGACACGUGUAACAGAAUUCUGAAUCCGAAUCGCGGCUCUUCACAAGGUUACUAUAGUUACUUCUCUGCAUGACGCUCUCCUUUUUUUUGCUGGGUAACAAUGGAUCCACUGUUAACCACUAAGCUAAGGUGUUGAACCCCCACCAUCAUCACAAAACUCAAGGGACAUUAUAAUAGGUUUAAAAUAACGUUCCUGUCUUUUAAUCAUACCUUUUCAUUUCAGAAGCUCCCGGAACAUGGACAGAUCCUGCACUAUGGCAGCUUUACAAAUAUUGUUAUGUCCACCUUGCGUUAAACAUAGGAGCUCACUAACGGCGACACAACCAUAUUUCAGAGCUCUGCAAACUGUUGACAAAAGUGAUGCAUUUGGGAGGUGGGGUGGUGCAUGGGUGCCCCCUCACUAGGUAGAUGAGGGGGAUGGGCAUCCAGGCAGGAAGACAGCUGGAAAGAGUGGCCUUGAACCUGGAGAGACCCAGUCUAGGAGGGACAGGGCAGGAGGGCAGGAGGGCAGGAGCUGUGCUGUCUUUGCAGGUGAAUUUGGCUCGUGCUAAACUAGCAAACACAUGCAGACAAAGUGGUUUGGAUUAGGAAUGGGGCAGGACACCCAAGCACUAACAUGCGCACAUAUUGCCAAGCAUUUAGAGCACCGAGCUGUCAGGGAGGACGCGAACUCAGGAUCUGGAGCCGUCUCGCCUCCUCAUGCCAGUUGGCCAUGCUAUGGCGAGACAGCUUUAUUCCCUUUGACAUAUGAGGACUUGCAAGGCCUAUGACUUCCCAGAUGUGGCACCGAGACACUCCUGGGACUAAAGGCAGAAGCCAGAGCUGCUGAUUCCUGGUCAGAUCCAUUCUCUCUAAUUACAGUCAUAAUGGUGAAGGGGAUGAUGACAUCCAAGGACGACCACAGGGCCUCUCUCUCAACACUGGUGAGAAUCAGAUUCCUCCCCCUGGCUCUGUAGCUCCCAGCAGAGUUCUGGAAGCUGAUUAAAGAGAAGAUCCGAAAUAAUAGGGGCUCCCAUUUGUAUGCUCAAGAAGCUGUUUUGGAAAAAUCCUUAAAGGAACACCGACUGCUUCUUUUUGCAUUCCUGCUCUACCAAUCGCAAGACUUCCUGAGGCUGAGGGUGUGGGGUAAACCUUAGUGACCACGUCCUGUGGCCAGGGUUGGCCCAGGUGAGAAGAGACUCUGGGCGAAGACCGAGAUGCAGUUUCCUGCCAAGGAGGUCACAUUCUAGUUGGUAAUGGACAAUUUCAAAACACACUGCCAUGUUGUCAGGAGAGGCUCAUGUGAAGAGGAACUACUACUCCUCCUGAAAACUACAGGCGUGAGCUUAGAUGCGAAUCCUCCCGCCCCAGCCAAGCCUUCAGAUGACUGCAGCCCCAGCUGACAUCUAGGCUUCAAGAUCUGCUACCUACCUCAUCUACUUCCAAAUUCUUGACUCCCAGAAACCAUGAGAUAAGAGAUGUUUGUUGUUUUAUGCCCUUAAAUUUUGGGAUAAUUUAUUAUGUGGUGAUAGAGAACUGACCCAGAAGGUAAAAGCACUGAGCACAGUCCCUGGCACAUAGUUGGGGCUGUAGAAUAUGCAUCUGUAGGUCUGGAGUUGAGAGAGAAGCCUGGGCUGGAAGUAUGGGUUUGGGAACCUUUUGGCUUAGAGACAAUAAUAGAAUCCAUGGAAGUGUCUGACUCAGUCCACAGAGAGGAAGAGACAGAGA